This 296-nucleotide long non-coding RNA is filed under the name Homo sapiens (human). Its description in RNAcentral is "non-protein coding lnc-ARHGEF26-1:2". Lineage: Eukaryota; Metazoa; Chordata; Mammalia; Primates; Hominidae. The record is from RNAcentral.
CAUUGAUCUAGCUCUUGAAAUGGGAAAUACUGGUAUAGUAUAUCACUUACGGAGGUCUGAUUUAAUGCUCAUUUAAGUGAGCCACCCACUCCCUGCUUCUCUUUUGGGUCUCCUUUGCAAAAUCGUUUGUAAAAUAAAGGACAUAAUAUCACGAUUCUCAACUUCUUCACAUAUAUGUAGCAUUGCAUUAUGAAUAACCAUACAAUUUCAGUACUCUAUUUAAAUUAUUAUGUGUUACAUUCCCUCCUGUUUCCUUUUUUCCUACAGACUCUGUAUAGGCAUACCUCGAAGAUAUU